GAUGAAGAACGUAGUGAAAUGCGAUACGUAAUGUGAAUUGCAAAUUCAGUGAAUCAUCGAAUCUUUGAACGCACAUUGCGCCCUCUGGUAUUCCGGGGGGCAUGCCUGUUCGAGCGUCAUUAUAACCACUCAAGCUCUCGCUUGGUAUUGGGGUUCGCGGUUCCGCGGCCCCUAAAAUCAGUGGCGGUGCCUGUCGGCUCUACGCGUAGUAAUACUCCUCGCGAUUGAGUCCGGUAGGUCUACUUGCCAGCAACCCCCAAUUUUUACAGGUUGACCUCGGAUCAGGUAGGGAUACCCGCUGAACUUAAGCAUAUCAAUAAGCGGAGGA
Molecule: unclassified non-coding RNA, 328 nt
Filed under: soil metagenome
Description: partial contains 5.8S ribosomal RNA, internal transcribed spacer 2, and large subunit ribosomal RNA
Rfam family: 5.8S ribosomal RNA (bases 1-119)
Source: RNAcentral